Molecule: ribosomal RNA, 344 nt
Filed under: uncultured bacterium
Lineage: Bacteria
Description: bacterial SSU rRNA
Rfam family: Bacterial small subunit ribosomal RNA
Source: RNAcentral
AGGGUUUGAUCCUGGCUCAGGACGAACGCCGGCGGCGUGCUUAACACAUGCAAGUCGAACGGAGCACCCUUGAAUGAGGUUUCGGCCAAAGGAAAGGAAUGCUUAGUGGCGGACUGGUGAGUAACGCGUGAGGAACCUGCCUUUCAGAGGGGGACAACAGCUGGAAACGGCUGCUAAUACCGCAUGAUGUGUAACUGGGACAUCCCGGAUACACCAAAGAUUUAUCGCUGAAAGAUGGCCUCGCGUCUGAUUAGAUAGUUGGCGGGGUAACGGCCCACCAAGUCGACGAUCAGUAGCCGGACUGAGAGGUUGACCGGCCACAUUGGGACUGAGAUACGGCCCAG